RNAcentral lists this transfer RNA (74 nucleotides) under Sphaerobolus stellatus SS14. RNAcentral's name for it is "tRNA-Asn (GTT) (tRNA-Asn-GTT-10-1)". It matches the Rfam family "tRNA". From Rfam's summary of the family: Transfer RNA (tRNA) molecules are approximately 80 nucleotides in length. Their secondary structure includes four short double-helical elements and three loops (D, anti-codon, and T loops). The record is from RNAcentral. Lineage: Eukaryota; Fungi; Basidiomycota; Agaricomycetes; Geastrales; Sphaerobolaceae.
UGCCCCAUGGCUUAGUUGGCUAUAGCCUCCGACUGUUAAGCGGAAGGUCGAAAGUUCGAGCUUCUCUGGGGCAG